RNAcentral lists this ribosomal RNA (761 nucleotides) under Prevotella melaninogenica. RNAcentral's name for it is "bacterial SSU rRNA". It matches the Rfam family "Bacterial small subunit ribosomal RNA", at positions 28 to 776 of the family's 1533-position model. The record is from RNAcentral. Lineage: Bacteria; Pseudomonadati; Bacteroidota; Bacteroidia; Bacteroidales; Prevotellaceae.
GAUGAACGCUAGCUACAGGCUUAACACAUGCAAGUCGAGGGGAAACGGCAUUGAGUGCUUGCACUCUUUGGACGUCGACCGGCGCACGGGUGAGUAACGCGUAUCCAACCUUCCCAUUACUGUGGGAUAACCUGCCGAAACGCAGACUAAUACCGCAUAGUCUUCGAUGACGGCAUCAGAUUUGAAGUAAAGAUUUAUCGGUAAUGGAUGGGGAUGCGUCUGAUUAGCUUGUUGGCGGGGUAACGGCCCACCAAGGCUACGAUCAGUAGGGGUUCUGAGAGGAAGGUCCCCCACAUUGGAACUGAGACACGGUCCAAACUCCUACGGGAGGCAGCAGUGAGGAAUAUUGGUCAAUGGACGGAAGUCUGAACCAGCCAAGUAGCGUGCAGGAUGACGGCCCUAUGGGUUGUAAACUGCUUUUGUAUGGGGAUAAAGUUAGGGACGUGUCUCUAUUUGCAGGUACCAUACGAAUAAGGACCGGCUAAUUCCGUGCCAGCAGCCGCGGUAAUACGGAAGGUCCAGGCGUUAUCCGGAUUUAUUGGGUUUAAAGGGAGCGUAGGCUGGAGAUUAAGUGUGUUGUGAAAUGUAGACGCUCAACGUCUGAAUUGCAGCGCAUACUGGUUUCCUUGAGUACGCACAACGUUGGCGGAAUUCGUCGUGUAGCGGUGAAAUGCUUAGAUAUGACGAAGAACUCCGAUUGCGAAGGCAGCUGACGGGAGCGCAACUGACGCUUAAGCUCGAAGGUGCGGGUAUCAAACAGG